Molecule: long non-coding RNA, 1211 nt
Organism: Zalophus californianus (California sea lion)
Lineage: Eukaryota; Metazoa; Chordata; Mammalia; Carnivora; Otariidae
Exons: 3
Source: RefSeq, a predicted model, not a curated record
UCACGUGCCGGGGCUCCCCGAGAGCGUGCGCGGUCCCCUGUCCCCAAACUUUGCGCCUGGACCCCGCGGAGGCCCCCGGAAGACAGACUGCGAUGGGAGGAAGGCGGGUUUGGAAAUCCGAGCACGCAGAGAUGGAUGCCUCAGGCCAAGGAAGAUGAAGGUCACGAACUCAUGAGGACAAGAAAGAAAAGCACAUUCAUCCAUUUGCAAAUAUACUUUUAUGCUUACAACCUUACCCUGGACAAUGGAAGCAAAGGAACCAUGACAGAACUUCAAGUCAAGAAGAGCCAUCUCCAAGCACCCACACCUGAGGGGCCUCCUCUCCUCCGGACCUGAUGUAGAUGUUGAAGUCCUGGAUGAGACUUCGGGCGGCCUCGGGGGUGAGUGUACAGUCAUUCGGAUGUGUGAGGGAUGUGAUUCAUCGGGGGGUGCGGUGCAGAGGGCUAGUCUUCAAAGCUAGCCCCCAGUGAAAACCACCUCUCCUGGUAUUCAUGACCUCGUGCAGGCCGCUCUCUGGAAUCUGCGUCGUCCCUGUGACUCACUUUGGCCAAUAGAAAGCAGUGCCCGUGAUGCCACAUGAUUUCUGAGGACAGCGCAUAGGGAGCCUUUUGGCUUCCACCUGGGUCUCUUACAAUGCUUGCUCUGGAACAAACCAGGCAUCGUGUAAGAAGUUGGUUUCUUCUGAGACUGAGAUGCUAUGGAGAGGCCAAGCUAGCCAUGUGGAAAAGUCACAGGAGAAAGCAGUUCGGUCCACCAGACUCUGCUUGGUCCAGCCGUUCCAGCUGAGACCAGCUAGGAGAGUCAGGAUGCUGCCAUCUUGGCCGUACAGCCCAGCUGAACCUGCAUUUGACUCUCAACCUUGCCACGGUUUGACCGCAACCAUGUGAGACCCCUCGCCCCAGCCACCAAGUGACGCCCGAGCCAGUCAAUCCACAGAACUGCAAGAGCUAAAAAGAAUUUCUUCUCAGCAACUAAACUUUGGGCUUUGUUAUAUGGCAACAGAUAACUGAAACAAUAAAAAAAAUUAUGUGCGUUUUAAUUUAAAAAAUGCAAAUUAAAUUGUAAAAGAUCAAAACAUUUUCACAUAAGUUUUUACCAAGUUAUUUUUCUUUAAAAUAUUCAAAAUUAUCUACUAAAAUUAAAAGGCAAAUGUAACCAAUACUAUAACUUAACGCAUUUUAUCUAAUACAAAAAUGUCAAAUAUUUAAAUA